AUUGAACGCUGGCGGCAUGCCUUACACAUGCCAGUCGAACGGCAGCAUGAUCUAGCUUGCUAGAUUGAUGGCGAGUGGCGAACGGGUGAGUAAUACAUCGGAACGUGCCCUGUAGUGGGGGAUAACUAGUCGAAAGAUUAGCUAAUACCGCAUACGACCUGAGGGUGAAAGUGGGGGACCGCAAGGCCUCAUGCUAUAGGAGCGGCCGAUGUCUGAUUAGCUAGUUGGUGAGGUAAAGGCUCACCAAGGCGACGAUCAGUAGCUGGACUGAGAGGACGAUCAGCCACACUGGGACUGAGACACGGCCCAGACUCCUACGGGAGGCAGCAGUGGGGAAUUUUGGACAAUGGGCGAAAGCCUGAUCCAGCAAUGCCGCGUGUGUGAAGAAGGCCUUCGGGUUGUAAAGCACUUUUGUCCGGAAAGAAAUGGCUCUGGUUAAUACCUGGGGUCGAUGACGGUACCGGAAGAAUAAGGACCGGCUAACUACGUG
This 490-nucleotide ribosomal RNA is filed under the name uncultured bacterium. RNAcentral describes it as "partial 16S ribosomal RNA". It matches the Rfam family "Bacterial small subunit ribosomal RNA", at positions 30 to 507 of the family's 1533-position model. The record is from RNAcentral.